GAAAUCAAUGGCGGCAAUGGCAGCAGCUGCCUUCUUUGUGGUAUUCAUUUUGGCUUCCUCUUCUUCUGGAGCAAUGGCUCAGGACAUCGCUCCUACACCGGCAAUGAUCACCGGAGCAGCCAUGGAUGUAUCCUCCUCGCCUCUAUCAGCUUUCCUGGCAUUCAUUUGCUCUUCACUCCUCCUCAUUCCUCUUCUCUCAUCAUUGUACUGAAUCGAAUUCGAAAUUGUGGUGGGAGAUCCACUUAUAAAUCAUCAUCAUCAAUUUGUGUACCUCUUUGUAUUAUUUUUGUUUCAUUUGAUGUUUCGUGUGGAUUGAUUCGGCGAUUGUAAGUAGUAGUAAUGUACCGAUUCUGCGAUCAGUGGCGGGUUCAGGGAGGCUUCCAUUGGUUAGGUUUGGUUCUUUUGGAUAUGAAUGGUUUCGAGAGUGUAUAAAUUUUGUGGUAUUUUGAGGGGUAUAAACAUCAUAUAAUUAUAUUCGAGGUUGGUGCAUAUUAAAUGUUAUUAAUUUGGUUCUGGUUACUAAUAAGUUGUUUAAGAUCACAUGAAUAUUUUGAAGUUCGAUCUAAUUGAAUUUGUUAUUUUAUGGAUUUAGAAAACUAUUGAAUUGUAAAAUAAAGUACUUUACUUCUAACUCGAGCUCAAAUUGUUUAGCAAUUGAGUUAGUACUUGAAUCUAGAGCUGAUUCUAAACAACAUUUUUACGAAAAGUGAAAAUUGAGUUGAAUGAAACAAUGUAGUAUACUAGUAUAGUACUAGUGACUAGAAUAGUAAUGAAUCACAAUACAUUAGGAUACACGAUUACCACUAAAUACGAAUAUUUAUAAUUUUAAAACUUGAAUAAUAUAAUGAUAGUCUCACCGAUUCCAUCUCCGAACCAUAAUCACCACUACGACCUGUACAAAUGGUGGAAUUAUUUUGACGACAUAAUGUGGGACCUUCUUCCUCACACCGACAAAAAACCAAACAGAUCAUUCCAGACGGAAGUGACCGUUGUUUCAGCCACGCGUCACGUUUCCAAUGGCUACAGCCUAACGGCUAUCCC
RNAcentral lists this long non-coding RNA (1041 nucleotides) under Linum usitatissimum (flax). RNAcentral describes it as "long non-coding RNA (LUSI_LNC002183)". The record is from RNAcentral. Lineage: Eukaryota; Viridiplantae; Streptophyta; Magnoliopsida; Malpighiales; Linaceae.